RNAcentral lists this ribosomal RNA (420 nucleotides) under uncultured bacterium. Its description in RNAcentral is "bacterial SSU rRNA". It matches the Rfam family "Bacterial small subunit ribosomal RNA", at positions 356 to 773 of the family's 1533-position model. The record is from RNAcentral.
AAGGAAUAUUGGACAAUGCUCGCAAGAGUGAUCCAGCCAUGCCGCGUGCAGGAAGACGGCCCUAUGGGUUGUAAACUGCUUUUGAACUAGAGAAAACCCCCCUUCGUGAAGGGGGCUGAUAGUAUAGUUAGAAUAAGCAUCGGCUAACUUCGUGCCAGCAGCCGCGGUAAGACGAAGGAUGCAAGCGUUAUCCGGAUUCAUUGGGUUUAAAGGGAGCGUAGGUGGAUUUGUAAGUCAGUGGUGAAAGCCGGCAGCUUAACUGUCGAACUGCCAUUGAUACUGCAGAUCUUGAGUAUGGUUGCUGUGGGCGGAAUAUGACAUGUAGAGGUGAAAUUCAUAGAGAUGUCAUAGAACACCGAUUGCGAAGGCAGCUCACAAAGCCAUUACUGACACUGAGGCUCGAAAGUGCGGGGAUCAAAC